RNAcentral lists this transfer RNA (72 nucleotides) under Methylobacter tundripaludum. RNAcentral's name for it is "tRNA-Gln". It matches the Rfam family "tRNA". Rfam says of the family: Transfer RNA (tRNA) molecules are approximately 80 nucleotides in length. The record is from RNAcentral. Lineage: Bacteria; Pseudomonadati; Pseudomonadota; Gammaproteobacteria; Methylococcales; Methylococcaceae. RNAcentral also lists the same sequence under 3 other names.
UGGGCCGUCGCCAAGCGGUAAGGCACGGGGUUUUGAUCUCCGCAUACCAAGGUUCGAAUCCUUGCGGCCCAG